CUAUCAUGUCCUGCAGAGGGCACUGCUUUGUCUCUUUUAGCAGACUUCUCUCAAGACAACGCUUGACUUUUUCCUGCCUCUGAGUUCCCCUCGCAUUAUGCAACAGAGUGAAAUACAACGGGUGUUCGAUGGUGAGGGGAUUGCAGGUGUUGAGGAACUGGAGCCCCAGUACAAGGUGGAAGUAUUCAUUAGCAGCUCUGCAGUUCUCCUGAAGAAAAGACCGGAUCCUACCGUAUCUAAUGGCUCUGAAUCAGUGUGGCUGAAAUCCCUGCUCGGAGACAAAAAUGGAAAUGCUCUCCCUGCAAUCACAGCCUUUCAUCCAGCCCACUAGGAAAUAUCGUGUCUAUUAGCCAUUAGCUGAUCUGAUAUCCUGGUUUAGACAGCUCAGGCGUCUCUCUGUGUGGCUGUUUGGAGGGAGACUGAAGAGAUUGCAGGCUUCGACCCAUGUGUCUGUUGAUUGACUCAAAUCAACCAAACUGUGGCCCAGAUCAGGCUGUCUGGAAACAGAUGUCCAUUGGUGAUUGAUUUGAUUGGCUGUCUAAUGCAUUGCCAAAUGUGUGUGAAUGCUCUGGAAGAGUCAAGGAGUCAUGUUACGAUGUGUUUGUUAGAAACAGGUUGUAAAAAUACGUUGGCAGAUUUAACAAUGUGAUGAUGGAUGUCAACAUACUUCUUGGAGUGAAGAUACAUUUUAGGAAAUGAUUCACCAAUGAAAUUAUAUAUGAUUAUGUAUAUUUCUAUUAAAAAAACGUCUUUAUGAAAAAUA
Molecule: long non-coding RNA, 763 nt
Organism: Oncorhynchus tshawytscha (Chinook salmon)
Lineage: Eukaryota; Metazoa; Chordata; Actinopteri; Salmoniformes; Salmonidae
Source: Ensembl